GCUUAGUCCUUAAGAACAGUGCAACAAGUGAACACAUACCUACUUAUGCCUGACUCGUCAAAUUAAUCGCGUUGAAAAUUCGUACUACACAGUUAGCAAUUGAAACGAGUGCAUGGCGAGUUUUCUUUUUUGAAAAAUAUCGAAUAUCGCACGAUUAGGCGGAAAAUGAUUGAUUCGUCGUUUACCAGCAACCUUUUCAUAUGCGUAAUCAAGUUUAUAAUACAACGGAAACCUGAAGAAAAGUGCACGCGUGUGGGGUUAAGGAGUAAUAAGAUUAAUGUAGAUCGGAUGUAAAAGAGCCGAACAAGUGAAUUCGUUAUCUUAUUUAUGGUGAUAAGUUUUUUUUUCCCUUGUCUCGGUGUUUUACUUUGGUGGGAAAUUUUCGAACAGGCUGCGACGACGAGAGUGAGCUUAAAGAGCAAAGAGAAUGUUGCGAGCAUAGUUGGAGAGUGUUGGAUAAGUGCGACAGCAGUUUAUGGGAGGAAACUGUUGCUUUUGCUGCGGACAGAGUGUUACGACUGUGUUGCCUGCAAUACAGCUGUAAAAGGCAAACUUGUGGGGCGGUAAAUGGGUAAAAGAAUAUAAGGUAAGAGAUACGAUGGCAGAGUGAUACAAAAAAUAUACACACAGCAGCGCACCUCCCGAGAGACGACGCAAGUGAAGGAGAGAAUCUAAACGAUAAGAAACGAUAUUACAGACCAGUCAGACGUUGAAUGGAGCAGAAAGGCGCCGUCAAUGGAGAACGUGGAGACGGGCCCGGAGAAGUGUGAAUCAAAUAAAUGAUCAAAUGAGAAGAAAAGUAUAAGUUGAGAAAAAGAUAAAAUUGUCGGCUCAGUUGUAUCCGAGAAGUCUACUGCAGCACAACACAGAGAAGCCCUUAGGCACACAGUGCUAACCAAAGUGCAAUAAACAUCACUUAACAAGGAAAGGAGGAAAAACAGAACAUACACAACGUGGUUAGGAAGCAGUGAUCAUCUACCGCCACAAAGUAUACAUAAUCAACAUCAGAAGUUUAAUUGCAGUUUGCUUUUAAAACAAUACAGAGCGAGCACACUACAAUCGUGCACAAUUGAUAAAUAUCCUUUCGCGCUUAUUGAUGAAACAAGUACUUAAAAGCGACAGUUUUUAAACCAAUAAAAUUAGCUUAAACGAUCGGUCUUCGCUUAUUUUGAUGCAAUCGUUUCAAGGCUCACUGCAAAAGUAUAGAUCGCGGUUUUUUCUCUGUUGACUCGACUGAUUUGCGACCGUGUGCUGCGAGAAUUACCAAGAGUAUAUAGAAAGUGUAUCCGGCGCAUAGUAAUAACGUGCUGGAGGCGAGAAGGAUAAUAAAGAAUUAAAUUUAUCGGUUUGAACUCGUGCGUGCAUUGGAGGGAAAAGAAGUUUCCUUCAGGAAAAAAAUUGGAAGCACAUCGUUUAUCAAGCACACAAGCAGGAAAGACGUAAGUGACGGAAACAAUUUAGUGCACCCGGAGAUCCAGAAAAAAAUCUGUAACAUACGGUCGCAGCCGUGUGGAUCGCAUACAGCGAAUUGUGAGAAGUGGCGGUUCUCUCAAUUAUCUUACGUCUUUGUUGCUACGACGGUCAUCCAAGAUGACUGUAAUCAAGUUAAGCAAUUUUAUUGUUUCACGUGAGGCAUAAGGCUUGUACUAGAAGUGCAAAAGUUUUAUGAACAUUCAAGUAAAAAACAGUAACCGAAGAGAAGUGCGUUGAAAACUCCCCAAGCGAGACAGAACGAAAACUAGCAAUUUAGAACCGUUAAAAGGUCAUCAAGAUCGUGUGUUCCGGCAAGGCAGUCCAUCGAACGGCCAAACCACUUAAAGAGUUUCUAUUCUAAAAGCUGUUCCUCUACGAAGACGAUACAGAGCCGUUUUUCUUCUCUGGAGUAAAGCUCGGAUAACCGAUUGACUGAUUCAAAUAUGUGUUCCCGCAACUUAGCGCUUUCGUUGGCAUUGAUAAUCGCACUGGUACCACUGGCGGCCGUAGCGUUACCUCCUCACAGUGUUGCCAAGCGAAGCUCCUUUUUCGACAUUGAGUGCAAGGGACAGUUCAACAAAGCGAUCUUCUACCGGCUGGAUCGGAUAUGCGAAGAUUGCUACUCGUUGUUCCGCGAGCCACAGAUUCUGUCCUUCUGCAAAAAAUCGUGCUUCACGACAGAUUACUUCCGUGGGUGCUUAGACGCGCUACAGCUGACGGACGAGAUCGAAACGCUAAAGCCCUUCAUCAAGGUACUGAACGGUGCAGAUCCAAAUACGUUAUAAGUCAAACCGGGAUCGGAGGUUAUCACAUCGUCGUCGUUGAUAGCAGCAGCGGAGGCAGCUUUAUUAAAAUGCAAAGAAGUGAUCUAUUUCUCUAGGAAGAACCAAUCCACCCCAACCACGUGGUGGUUAGAGCUAGCAGGAUAAUACGCGCAACAGUGCUUAACAACAACACAGUAUCUAAAAUUACAAGCAGAAGAAAUCCAUGGUCUUGGAGCAUGGUCUUCGAUUUACUACUAGCAUUGACUAAAUAAGGGAAAACUUGAGUGCCAAUCUGAUAAGGAGACAUCGAAACCAAUAUCUUCUUUCAUCACGCGACACAAUCACCACAAACGACGCUAGGGUCCAGUCGUCGAUUUUUGUGCAAUUUUAUUCGUUUAGUUACGUUUUUAUGUUUUGUUCAUUUGUUAACUGGAGAAUGAAAACAAAUCGAAAGUAUUAGCUGAGAGACGAACCGUUAGAGGAGAUCUUGAAGUUAUCAGCACCAUAAUCAUCAUCGUCACCACUUGCAAGCGGAUCAACAAAUCAACGCAACCGGAAGGAUUCAGUUUAUUUUACUUUUCGUACACUUUUUCGUUGAGUAUUUCAAUGAGAGGGCUGCUUCGGAUCGGAAUACUUCCUGGCAUGCGUGGAAGCGUUGGUUCUGGAUGAGGAGACGGAAAAAUUCAUGAAAUGGCGUGAAAUGUUAGGGAAGAAGUAAUUCUGUCUUGUCCUAACUUCAUAACCAGCAGCUGUAUUUUAGUUUAAUGAACGAUCAUGCUGAUUUUAAAUGCUAAUGUAGAACAGUGACUGUAUGUAAUAUGUUUUUAGUAUGAUUUGCUUUUUCUACAGAAACUGACUGCCUCUUGUAUGUACAGGAAGCAAACAAGUUAACAGCAGUUAAUAGAUAGGUUGAAAGCAAACUUAUACAGAGCAGCGACUGAACAAGAAAGAUAGAAGGAGAUGCCGAUGUGUACAUAAUUAACUGAUAAAUGAAUAUUUAUUUAUAAAAUUAAUGUUAACAAUGAUCAAUACUAACUUAGAGAGUGCAAACUAGAAAGGAAUAGAGAGCGUGAGACGGGAUGAUGAACAUUUCUAGACAGCGUUAGGGAUUGUAGAUACCUAAUCGAUUGCAAAGUUGUAAUUAGUAAAACAAUUAUACAAGCAUCCGUAAUCCCAUUGCUUGAUGGAAAGGACGGUAAAUGUGUAUCAAUCGAAAGUGCUUGUAGUUGGGGGAAGGUAACAAGGCCACAUUUUCGGAUGGCGGUUUCGUUGCAUUCCCCUGACCGAAUGUAGGCGAUUUGAUGUGUAUGAAAUCGAAAUUUAUUUCAAGGAUAGGAGAUUGUUAGAGCGAGCGAACGAACGAGCAUUGUUUAUUUUGUUCAGUAAAACCAUAUCUCCACUGACAUGCAAAAAAUUAGAGUAACAUGGAAAUAUCUUACGCUAAUGUAUUUAUAUUUUCAAAAAAUAUAUCUUCUUAAAAUCUAGUCCAGAAAGCGCACAUUUAUGUUUAGUUAUUUAUGAUGAAAAAGCAGUAAGGCAACUCGAACGAUCAAAAUAAGUUAAGGAGAAGUUUCUGUAUUUUCACCCUUGUUAGCAGCCUUAGUUGUUAUGGCUUAAAAAGAAUGAUGAAAUCAUUUUCACUCUCUUCCUUUUGUUUUUAACCUAAAUUUUCGCUUCUUGGCUUGUAGUUAAGCUUCGAUAGUUUGAACUUUUAUUCUACAACUUUUCCAAUGCUCGCAAUGCAUAUUCUGGUAUAAUCUGAGCGUUACAGGAAUAUCAUCAACACCUUAUUUUAAAGAAACGCCAUGCUCGAGGCGAGAGUUUUACGUUUCUCGUAUUCGGAAAAUGUCAAGGAAAGUGUAUAUUUUUAACAUUCCUUAUCAGACAGUAUUGACUCUCUCCCAAAAUAGUCUAUCAAUUAUUAAAAAUAGAUAAAAAAAAUAAUAACACAUACAUCUCAACGUCAAAAACUUCGUACUGAAGUUGAGUAUUUGUCAUUCGUUUCAGAUUAAAAUAAAAAUAAUAAAAAAUCCAAAAGUUCCACAUCAAUACGAGCAUCACUUGUUAAUUUCAACUCAAAUCAGUAACUAAUGGAGAGAGUGCGACCAAGAAAACUGUCACUGUUUUCUGCUUCAACUAUAAUCGGAUGAUAGAUUCUGUAAAACAUGUCAUAAUCUAUGUUCUCUGAUGCGGUAUCCUUUCAUUAUUUUUUAUUUAAAUCAGUUCAACGUCCUAUCACUUUAUUCCUAGAAACCUAUCGAACGAAGCAACGCGAACAAGCAAAACCCAAUUCACGGAAACUAAUCGAUUUAUAGCGAUAGUUUUGAGGAACGAUCUGAAACACUCACCAGUUGAUAGAUUUAAAGUAUAAGAAAUAUUUGUAACACAUUCGUUGAUUGCCAUUUUUUAACAUAAAAUAUUUUAUUAUUUGUACAUGACUAAAACUUUAAUAAAACACAAUAUCCUGAAGCUAAUUGUAAGUUGUCCUAUUUAUAAUUCUUGUUGCUGGGAGGAAUGCUGUUCUUGAGAUUUUAGCCUCAGAAGGAAACGAGUCUCAAGCAGAUCUGUGCAAAAAAUAAAACCUUUUUGUAAACAAAGUGAACAAACAAUAUUGAUAUUAUUCAUAUAUUUUAACGAAAAUACGGGGAAACAAUAAAAAAGAAAUAUCAAUGAGCAUGAAACAA
Molecule: RNA transcript, 4921 nt
Organism: Armigeres subalbatus
Lineage: Eukaryota; Metazoa; Arthropoda; Insecta; Diptera; Culicidae
Gene: ITP
Gene name: ion transport peptide
Exons: 4
Source: RefSeq, a predicted model, not a curated record